GACGAACGCUGGCGGCGUGCUUAACACAUGCAAGUCGAACGGUGAAGCUCCAGCUUGCUGGAGUGGAUCAGUGGCGAACGGGUGAGUAACACGUGAGCAACCUGCCCCUGACUCUGGAAUAAGCGCUGGAAACGGCGUCUAAUACUGGAUACGAGAAGGGUCCGCAUGGGCACUUUCUGGAAAGUUUUUCGGUUGGGGAUGGGCUCGCGGCCUAUCAGCUUGUUGGUGAGGUAAUAGCUCACCAAGGCGACGACGGGUAGCCGGCCUGAGAGGGCGACCGGCCACACUGGGACUGAGACACGGCCCAGACUCCUACGGGAGGCAGCAGUGGGGAAUAUUGCACAAUGGGCGAAAGCCUGAUGCAGCGACGCCGCGUGAGGGAUGACGGCCUUCGGGUUGUAAACCUCUUUCAGCAGGGAAGAAGCGAAAGUGACGGUACCUGCAGAAGAAGCACCGGCUAACUACGUG
RNAcentral lists this ribosomal RNA (468 nucleotides) under uncultured bacterium. Its description in RNAcentral is "partial 16S ribosomal RNA". It matches the Rfam family "Bacterial small subunit ribosomal RNA", at positions 28 to 507 of the family's 1533-position model. The record is from RNAcentral.